This 119-nucleotide ribosomal RNA is filed under the name Mastacembelus armatus (zig-zag eel). The record is from RNAcentral. Lineage: Eukaryota; Metazoa; Chordata; Actinopteri; Synbranchiformes; Mastacembelidae.
CUUUGUGGCGACACCGGAGUGCGAGUGCCCAAUAGUGUCCGCUUUUGGAAGCUAAGCAGGGUUGUGCCUGGUUAGUACUUGGAUGGGAGACCAGCUUCAAAGACCAGGGGCUGCUAUCC